This 77-nucleotide transfer RNA is filed under the name Halopseudomonas pelagia. RNAcentral describes it as "Pseudomonas pelagia tRNA-Arg". It matches the Rfam family "tRNA". From Rfam's summary of the family: Transfer RNA (tRNA) molecules are approximately 80 nucleotides in length. Their secondary structure includes four short double-helical elements and three loops (D, anti-codon, and T loops). Lineage: Bacteria; Pseudomonadati; Pseudomonadota; Gammaproteobacteria; Pseudomonadales; Pseudomonadaceae. RNAcentral also lists the same sequence under 3 other names. The record is from RNAcentral.
GCACCCGUAGCUCAGCUGGAUAGAGUACCGCCCUCCGAAGGCGGUGGUCACUGGUUCGAAUCCAGUCGGGUGCACCA